RNAcentral lists this ribosomal RNA (118 nucleotides) under Myotis davidii. The record is from RNAcentral. Lineage: Eukaryota; Metazoa; Chordata; Mammalia; Chiroptera; Vespertilionidae.
GUCUACGGCCAUACCACCCUGAAUGCGCCCGAUCUCGUCUGAUCUCGGAAGCUAAGCAGGGUCGGGCCUGGUUAGUACUUGGAUGGGAGAACUGGGCAGAUUUGAGGAACUGGAAGGA